Molecule: non-coding RNA, 1116 nt
Organism: Nematostella vectensis (starlet sea anemone)
Lineage: Eukaryota; Metazoa; Cnidaria; Anthozoa; Actiniaria; Edwardsiidae
Source: Rfam
UGACCUCAGAUCAGGCAAGGCAACCCGCUAAAUUUAAGCAUAUUAAUAAGCGGAGGAAAAGAAACUAACAAGGAUUCCCCUAGUAAUGGCGAAUGAAGCGGGAACAGCUCAAAUUUAAAAUCUCCGUUGCUUGCAACGGCGAAUUGUAGUUUCGAGAAGCACUUUCUCGGCGGAUCCGAGGUCGUCCAAGUUGCUUGGAACAGCACGUCGUAGAGGGUGACAACCCCGUCUGCGGCGAUCUCGGCCGUUCACGAUGUGCUUUCGACGAGUCGGGUUGUUUGGGAAUGCAGCCCAAAAUGGGUGGUAAACUCCAUCUAAAGCUAAAUAUUGGCACGAGACCGAUAGCGAACAAGUACCGUGAGGGAAAGAUGAAAAGCACUUUGAAAAGAGAGUUAAAAAGUACGUGAAACCGUUAAAAGGGAAACGAAUGGGGUUAGCAAUGCGUCGUGUGAGAUUUAGCCGGUGGGUGGGCCAGGCGGGCGGUUGGCGGAUCUGAAUGGACCGCUGCCGUUCGGGUUGGUUUCCCGACCGUCGCACUUCUCGCAGGCGCGCGCCAACGUCGGUUAGGGCUGGGUCUCAAAGGCGGUGGAAAGGUAGGUUUGGACUCUCGGGCCCGAACUGUUACAGUCCUCCGUUUGUCAUGGCCCGGACCUGACCGAGGAGCUUGCGGUGCAUGCCGUUCGGCUAGGGUCCCGUCUUCCCGGUCGGUCGUCGAAUGCGGUGGACUGCGUGCAGUGCGCCGCGACUGCUGCCGGUCGCGAGGGCGGUGAUUUCGUACUAUGCACCCACGACGUUGGCGGUCAUAUGGCCUCAUCCUACCCGUCUUGAAACACGGACCAAGGAGUCUAACAUGUGUGCGAGUCUUUGAGUGACCGAAACUCCGAGGCGUAAUGAAAGUGAAGGCGACUUCGGUCGCUGAGGUGAGAGCCUUUUUCCAAAAAAAGAAGGCGCAUCAUUGACCGACCUAUUCUACUCUUAGAAAGGUUUGAGUAAGAGCGCAUCUGUUGGGACCCGAAAGAUGGUGAACUAUGCCUGAAUAGGGUGAAGCCAGAGGAAACUCUGGUGGAGGCUCGUAGCGAUUCUGACGUGCAAAUCGAUCGUCAAAUUUGGGUAUAG